GAUGAACGCUGGCGGCGUGCCUAAUACAUGCAAGUCGAGCGAACAGACGAGGAGCUUGCUCCUUUGACGUUAGCGGCGGACGGGUGAGUAACACGUAGGUAACCUACCUAUAAGACUGGGAUAACUUCGGGAAACCGGAGCUAAUACCGGAUAAUAUUUCGAACCGCAUGGUUCGAUAGUGAAAGAUGGCUUUGCUAUCACUUAUAGAUGGACCUGCGCCGUAUUAGCUAGUUGGUAAGGUAACGGCUUACCAAGGCAACGAUACGUAGCCGACCUGAGAGGGUGAUCGGCCACACUAGAACUGAGACACGGUCCAGACUCCUACGGAGGGCAGCAGUAGGGAAUCUUCCGCAAUGGGCGAAAGCCUGACGGAGCAACGCCGCGUGAGUGAUGAAGGUCUUCGGAUCGUAAAACUCUGUUAUUAGGGAAGAACAAACGUGUAAGUAACUGUGCACGUCUUGACGGUACCUAAUCAGAAAGCCACGGCUAACUACGUG
Molecule: ribosomal RNA, 497 nt
Filed under: uncultured bacterium
Lineage: Bacteria
Description: partial 16S ribosomal RNA
Rfam family: Bacterial small subunit ribosomal RNA
Source: RNAcentral